RNAcentral lists this long non-coding RNA (236 nucleotides) under Musa acuminata (dwarf banana). Its description in RNAcentral is "long non-coding RNA (MACU_LNC008264)". The record is from RNAcentral. Lineage: Eukaryota; Viridiplantae; Streptophyta; Magnoliopsida; Zingiberales; Musaceae.
ACAGAGGAUCAUCCACUCUCGGCGUCAUGAGAGGAAUAUCCCAUGUGUUCUUGCUCAGACAAAUCCCUGGCCAGGGUCAUUCGGGUUGAGAGAGAAAGAGUUCUCCGGGAGAAUCCGAUUAGAGCGAGACUCGAGUAGAAACCGUAUGGGUCUGACAGCACCAUACUCGAUAUACGGUCUCUGGGAUAUUAGAUGGAUGAGGGAUUAUAGGUACAUGGUAACUGAGGACAGACAGG